RNAcentral lists this ribosomal RNA (468 nucleotides) under uncultured bacterium. RNAcentral describes it as "partial 16S ribosomal RNA". It matches the Rfam family "Bacterial small subunit ribosomal RNA", at positions 28 to 507 of the family's 1533-position model. The record is from RNAcentral.
GACGAACGCUGGCGGCGUGCUUAACACAUGCAAGUCGAACGGAAAGACCCUGCUUUUGUGGGGUGCUCGAGUGGCGAACGGGUGAGUAACACGUGAGUAACCUGCCCUUGACUUUGGGAUAACUUCAGGAAACUGGGGCUAAUACCGGAUAGGAGCUCCUGCUGCAUGGUGGGGGUUGGAAAGUUUCGGCGGUUGGGGAUGGACUCGCGGCUUAUCAGCUUGUUGGUGGGGUAGUGGCUUACCAAGGCUUUGACGGGUAGCCGGCCUGAGAGGGUGACCGGCCACAGUGGGACUGAGAUACGGCCCAGACUCCUACGGGAGGCAGCAGUGGGGAAUAUUGCACAAUGGGCGGAAGCCUGAUGCAGAAACGCCGCGUGCGGGAUGACGGCCUUCGGGUUGUAAACCGCUUUCGCCUGUGACGAAGCGUGAGUGACGGUAAUGGGUAAAGAAGCACCGGCUAACUACGUG